ACAGCCUUCAUUUCAGUCAACAACCACAUAACAGAUCAUCAAAAUACAUAAAGCAAAAACUGACAGAACUAAAGUUAAAUAUACAUAUCUACAAUUAUGUAGAGAAUAACAAACAAAAAAAUAGAACAAAAAUGUUCCACGCCUUGGUCAAUGGUACCACCAGCCAGCGAGGUUCCCAAGCCAAGAACUUCGGAAGCAUCCGUGAUUCUUCAUCUUCCACAUCCACUUUAUCACCGGAAGCACGCAUUCAACUUUCUAAACAUCCCUCAGACUGACCCACAUCUUUCUAUCCACUUUUCACAUCUUGCUUGAAUGACUUCCCCAGGCCCAGCCAGUCUCCCGCCUCCAGCUCCGCCCCCUUCUGACUCCCUUUAUGUGGUACAAUCAGAGAGCCCUUCCCAAAGCACAAAUCUGCUUUCACUGCUUUGCUUCAAGCCCUUUCGUGGCUCCUAUUUCCAGCUGGAUGAGGUCCAAGCCUCUUAACGUGCUGUACGUGUACAUGCCUGACCCCCGCUACUUGACCAGCCAAGUUUCUUCAUAGCGCUGUGUCUUUGUUCCUCCUGCCUAGAAUGUCCUUCCCCUUUUCUCUCGCUUCAUGGUGUGCCAAACUCCUAUCCUGUGAGAUCCAGCUUACACGUCAGCUUCCCCGUGAUGCUUUUCCUAACUCCCUAUUCAGCCAGUGAAGUGCUCCCUGCGUUCCCAUGUGGCUUGUAUCUCUGUAAAAGCUCCACAGAGCUGUUUUAAUUUAUCCGUUAAUGUACAUGUCUUCCCCACUAGACUUUUGCUCCUUAAAGUAUCUCCUUCAUCUCUGCUUUGCAUAACCUAACAGAGUUCAACACAUAGGAGUGUCUUAAUAAAUGCUGAAUAAAAUAAUUAAUAAACAA
Molecule: long non-coding RNA, 884 nt
Filed under: Homo sapiens (human)
Lineage: Eukaryota; Metazoa; Chordata; Mammalia; Primates; Hominidae
Description: HSALNT0366287
Source: RNAcentral